This 431-nucleotide ribosomal RNA is filed under the name uncultured bacterium. RNAcentral's name for it is "bacterial SSU rRNA". It matches the Rfam family "Bacterial small subunit ribosomal RNA", at positions 29 to 507 of the family's 1533-position model. The record is from RNAcentral.
AACGAACGCUGGCGGCAGGCCUAACACAUGCAAGUCGAGCGCCCCGCAAGGGGGAGCGGCGGACGGGUGAGUAACGCGUGGGAACGUACCCUUUGCUACGGAAUAGCCUCGGGAAACUGGGAGUAAUACCGUAUGUGCCCUUGGGGGAAAGAUUUAUCGGCAAAGGAUCGGCCCGCGUUGGAUUAGGUAGUUGGUGGGGUAAUGGCCUACCAAGCCGACGAUCCAUAGCUGGUUUGAGAGGAUGAUCAGCCACACUGGGACUGAGACACGGCCCAGACUCCUACGGGAGGCAGCAGUGGGGAAUCUUAGACAAUGGGCGCAAGCCUGAUCUAGCCAUGCCGCGUGAGCGAUGAAGGCCUUAGGGUUGUAAAGCUCUUUCAGUGGGGAAGAUAAUGACUGUACCCACAGAAGAAGCCCCGGCUAACUCCGUG